CAGACAACAAUAUUCACAAGUAGGGAUAUUGCAGAAAUGUUUUGUUGCCUCCAGAAUACUUCUGCACUUGCACACUGGUGUAUGAGAACUCUUUGCUGUGGCAGAGCAGUUCAUGGAGGCCCAGAGAGGAGACACACAGGCCGUGCUCCUUGAUACAGUUCCCAACACCUCUGCUUGCUCGAUCACUCAGAUUUCUUUAGUUGUAUUAUACCACCUGGCAUGGAAAGAAAAGGAAUUGUUGACUGAAAACUGCUGUCUGCUAGAGAAACUUCUUGCAAUGGAGAUGCAAUUUCUAUCAUUGAUAUAAAGAAGAAAAAGAGAUAAAUAUCUCUUUAGAACGAAGCUACAAAACUGUAUUGAGAUACCCCAGA
This is a long non-coding RNA of Catharus ustulatus (Swainson's thrush), 371 nucleotides long. RefSeq lists it as uncharacterized. The transcript has 3 exons. The record is from RefSeq and is a predicted model, not a curated record. NCBI's taxonomy places the organism in Eukaryota, Metazoa, Chordata, Aves, Passeriformes, Turdidae.